Molecule: ribosomal RNA, 1591 nt
Filed under: Oscarella malakhovi
Lineage: Eukaryota; Metazoa; Porifera; Homoscleromorpha; Homosclerophorida; Oscarellidae
Description: SSU rRNA
Rfam family: Eukaryotic small subunit ribosomal RNA
Source: RNAcentral
ACUGUGAAACUGCGAAUGGCUCAUUUAAAUCAGUUAUAGUUUAUUUGAUGGUCUCUACCACUUGGAUAACCGUGGUAAUUCUAGAGCUAAUACAUGCGUCGAUGCCCGACUUUUGCGGGAGGGUUGUAUUUAUUAGAUUUAAAACCAAUCGGGAUCUUCGGGUUCCGUUUCGGACGAUUCAUAGUAACUGUGUGGAGCGCAUGGCCUUCGUGCCGGCGCCGGAUCAUUCAAGUUUCUGCCCUACCAACUUUCUAUGGUAGGGUAUUGGCCUACCAUGGUUGCAACGGGUGACGGAGAAUUAGGGUUCGAUUCCGGAGAGGGAGCCUGAGAAACGGCUACCACAUCCAAGGAAGGCAGCAGGCGCGCAAAUUACCCAAUCCCGACACGGGAAAGUAGUGACAAUAAAUAACAAUACGGGGCUUUUUCAAGUCUCGUAAUUGGAAUGAGUCCAAUUUAAAUCCGUUAACGAGGAACAAUUGGAGGGCAAGUCUGGUGCCAGCAGCCGCGGUAAUUCCAGUUCCAAUAGCGUAUAUUAAAGUUGUUGCAGUUAAAAAAGCUCGUAGUUGGAUUUCAGGCCCGUUUGGCGGGUCCGCUUAACGGCGUGCACUUGCUCGGCGGGUCUUCUUCUCGAGGAGUUGGCGUGCUCUUAGUUGAGCGUGUCGACGACUCGGGACCUUUACUUUGAGUAAAUUAGAGUGUUCAAGCAGGCGUUUGGCUUGAAUAGAUUAGCAUGGAAUAACGGAAGAGGACCUUUCGGUCUUGUUUUGUUGGUUUUGGGGACCGAGGUAAUGAUUAAUUGGGACAGUCGGGGGCAUUCGUAUUGAAUUGUCAGAGGUGAAAUUCUUGGAUUUAUGAAAGACGAACGCGUGCGAAAGCAUUUGCCAAGGAUGUUUUCAUUAAUCAGGAACGAAAGUUGGAGGCUCGAAGACGAUUAGAUACCGUCGUAGUUCCAACCAUAAACGAUGCCGCCUAGGGGUCGGAGGACGUCAUUGUUGGACUCCUUCGGCACCUUGUGAGAAAUCAAAGGCUUUGGGUUCCGGGGGGAGUAUGGUCGCAAGACUGAAACUUAAAGGAAUUGACGGUGGUGCAUGGCCGUUCUUAGUUGGUGGAGUGAUUUGUCUGCCUAAUCGCGAUAACGAACGAGACCUUAACCUGCUAACUAGUCAAGCCAUUUCUCUCGCGGAAAUGACGGCCGACUUCUUAGAGGGACUAUCGUCGUCUAGUCGAUGGAAGUUUGAGGCAAUAACAGGUCUGUGAUGCCCUUAGAUGUCCUGGGCCGCACGCGCGCUACACUGACAAAGUCAACGAGUCUCACAGUCCUGCUCCGACAGGUGCGGGUAAUCUGACAAACUUUGUCGUGCUGGGGAUAGACCCUUGUAAUUCUUGGUCUCGAACGAGGAAUUCCUAGUAAGCGCGAGUCAUCAGCUCGCGUUGAUUACGUCCCUGCCCUUUGUACACACCGCCCGUCGCUACUACCGAUUGGCUGGUCGGAUGAGAACAUUGGAACGCGGCCGCUGCGGAUCGCUCUGGAGCGCGCUGCGCGAAGUUGUUCUAGUCUGUUUAGCUAGAGGAGGUAAAAGUCGUAACAAGA